RNAcentral lists this ribosomal RNA (1268 nucleotides) under uncultured Bacteroidota bacterium. RNAcentral describes it as "bacterial SSU rRNA". It matches the Rfam family "Bacterial small subunit ribosomal RNA", at positions 64 to 1342 of the family's 1533-position model. The record is from RNAcentral. Lineage: Bacteria; Pseudomonadati; Bacteroidota.
GAGGGGUAUAAGUCUUCGGAUUUAGAGACCGGCGCACGGGUGCGUAACGCGUAUGCAAUCUACCUUUUACAGAGGGAUAGCCCAGAGAAAUUUGGAUUAAUACCUCAUAGUAUUAUGAAAUGGCAUCAUUUUAUAAUUAAAGUCACAACGGUAAAAGAUGAGCAUGCGUCCCAUUAGCUUGUUGGUAAGGUAACGGCUUACCAAGGCUACGAUGGGUAGGGGUCCUGAGAGGGAGAUCCCCCACACUGGUACUGAGACACGGACCAGACUCCUACGGGAGGCAGCAGUGAGGAAUAUUGGUCAAUGGACGCAAGUCUGAACCAGCCAUGCCGCGUGCAGGAUGACGGUCCUAUGGAUUGUAAACUGCUUUUGCACAGGAAGAAACAACUCUACGUGUAGAGUCUUGACGGUACUGUGAGAAUAAGGAUCGGCUAACUCCGUGCCAGCAGCCGCGGUAAUACGGAGGAUCCAAGCGUUAUCCGGAAUCAUUGGGUUUAAAGGGUCCGUAGGCGGUUUAGUAAGUCAGUGGUGAAAGCCCAUCGCUCAACGGUGGAACGGCCAUUGAUACUGCUAAACUUGAAUUAUUAGGAAGUAACUAGAAUAUGUAGUGUAGCGGUGAAAUGCUUAGAGAUUACAUGGAAUACCAAUUGCGAAGGCAGGUUACUACUAAUGGAUUGACGCUGAUGGACGAAAGCGUGGGUAGCGAACAGGAUUAGAUACCCUGGUAGUCCACGCCGUAAACGACGGAUACUAGCUGUUGGAAGCAAUUUCAGUGGCUAAGCGAAAGUGAUAAGUAUCCCACCUGGGGAGUACGUUCGCAAGAAUGAAACUCAAAGGAAUUGACGGGGGCCCGCACAAGCGGUGGAGCAUGUGGUUUAAUUCGAUGAUACGCGAGGAACCUUACCAAGGCUUAAAUGUAGAUUGACCGGUUUGGAAACAGACUUUUCGCAAGACAAUUUACAAGGUGCUGCAUGGUUGUCGUCAGCUCGUGCCGUGAGGUGUCAGGUUAAGUCCUAUAACGAGCGCAACCCCUGUUGUUAGUUGCCAGCGAGUCAUGUCGGGAACUCUAACAAGACUGCCAGUGUAAACUGUGAGGAAGGUGGGGAUGACGUCAAAUCAUCACGGCCCUUACGCCUUGGGCUACACACGUGCUACAAUGGCCGGUACAGAGAGCAGCCACUGGGCGACCAGGAGCGAAUCUACAAAACCGGUCACAGUUCGGAUCGGAGUCUGCAACUCGACUCCGUGAAGCUGGAAUCGCUAGUAAU